Molecule: unclassified non-coding RNA, 117 nt
Organism: Pongo abelii (Sumatran orangutan)
Lineage: Eukaryota; Metazoa; Chordata; Mammalia; Primates; Hominidae
Rfam family: Metazoan signal recognition particle RNA
About the family: The signal recognition particle (SRP) is a universally conserved ribonucleoprotein.
Source: Ensembl
GCUGGGCAUGGUGGCUCAUGCCUGUAAUCCCAGCACUUUGGGAGGCUGAGAUGGGAGGAUUGCUUGAGGCCAGGAGUUUGAGACCAGCCUGGGCAACAUGGCAAGAUCCCAUCUCUA